AGAGCAGGGAGGCGCCCACAGCGAGGGCAGAGUGCACAGCGCUGCAAGGCAGGGUGGACCCACACCUCACACAAGAACCGUCCUGUUCGGCUCCCCAGUCCCUGCCCACGAGGCCCAUACCUGAUCCCGGCACAGCUCCACAUUGGGCCGAUAGCUGCGGGUCUCCAGGCGGCUGUGAGCCACCUUCAGGUCCUGCAUUUUCCUUCGCAGAUCUUCCUCCAGGCGUCGGAUGUCCUCUUCCAUCUCAGCAAUUUCCUCCAAGGUCUAAAGCAAAAAAAGACACCAACCCUGAGGGACAGCCGCAGCGCCCUGGAGGAGACAGACUGCAGAACAGCCCCCGUUCGCUGUAGGCUUUUACUGUGCUCUGAAUGCAUUUUUAAAUGGAGCUGAUGGGUUUCGAACCUCUCUGCUCGUGGCUCCGCACGCAGACCAGGCACAGUACUGCUAUGGAGCACAGGACCUCUUUUGCAUUCAAUCCCCACCCGAGGCUGCGGUUGACAAUUGAGCACCGUUUACCUUUUGCUCCUGCCAUUUCAGCUCAUCGUAGGCUCUCUCCAUGUCUCUGAUCCUUUUGCGCAAGGCAAACUCAGUGGCUACACGCUGAGCCUCCAGCUCGUUGUUUGUCUGAAGAGAGAACACAUUCCACUCACACUCAUCCGGAGGGGCUCUGCCUCCCAUCACGGCUCCCCGUGAGGUUGGGACAAGCAAAGCCAUGCAGGCUGUGCCCGCUGGAAGGUGUGCAGGUCUCACAACCGCUGCAGCCAAAAGGAACAGCAGUGAUGGGCUGCUGUGAGUCUUCCAGGCUGCUGGCUCUGCUGCACCCUCUGCGGCACAGCCCGGCUCCCCUUUUAAAACAGGAGGGCACCACUAAUUCACAACCAAGGGGCUCCUUUACCUGGGCAAUGGAAAGCAUGAUUGCUUCUCGGAGCUUAGUUGAGGCUUUCAUUUCCUCCUCAGCGCAGUCUUUGUUGUAUUGGCUAUUCUGCUCCCACUCACCAACCACAGUUGAUCUACGAACAAAGCAGUGGUUACAAAAAUAAGCGGAGUGGCUGCAAGGCAGUUCAAAGGGAACCACCUGCUGCAGGCCAAGGAGGCUUUCUGCAGUGCAGGAUGGCUCAGGAAUGUGGAGGUUGCAUCCUGUCUGAUCUCAGGGCACCAGCUGGGGAUUGCUGCCCCACGGCUCCCGCACCGAGCCCAACAUCUGCUCAAACUGGGGACUCAUCCAAAGCACGCUAUGAAAGGCCACGCGAGUGGAAGAUGAGCAGCAGCUCUGCCAUAAAGCCGUGCCAGAGGCUGAUGCUGCUCUGCUUACCGUCACCUAUAGCCAAGUGCAGGGAGGCAGGGCAGCCAGCUUCUGCUUUUGCAGUGACAAUUCUGAUAACCUGUUCACUGUCUGUGCUCCAACUUUCUGCACUGCAGAGAUGCUAUUUAUUUGAUGGUGGUGGUGUUACGAGCUCAGAAUGCCCUGACAUGCCCUGAGAGAUCUGAUAGCAGAGCACACCGCUAUGGGCACGCAUUAAGAAAGGUCUCCUAUCCAACGAGUCUGUGGCUUCACAGCCCAGGACUCACAGCACAUCCCGGCUCCUGCACGGAGCUCUCAAUAACUGCACUCAUCAGCCAGGAUGCAGCAUGGGAAGGAAAAGCAUCCUGGGGCUCUCAAAAGCACUCGCACAGGCGUGGACAGAAGCACAGGCGUGGACAGAAGCACAGGCGUGGACAGAAGCACAGGCGUGGACAGAAGCACAGGCUCUUUACUUACCCGUUUGGGAUCCGCGUUGGGUUGACCUUGAAGGAGAUGUUGGGAGAGUUCACGCUGAGGGACAAACACGUGCGGUCUAUUUCCAGUGCUUCCAUCUUGCCACGGUGGUCGAAGCUGAGCUGCUGGCGAGCUUCCUGCAGGAGGCUGCAGAACGCAAGGCCGGGGUCACGGGGAGCACACGGAGGAGUGCGGCUCCCCGAUUCCAAAGCCUUUUAAUCGCGUCCUCCAUCGCCUCCACGAAGGGAGCACAGUGCUGUUUGCCUCACCAGAGCUGCUCGAAGGCUUCGUGCACUCUCUGCUGCAGCUCCCUCUUGGCUUUGUCGAUCACCUUCACCUCCCUGUGCAGCUCCUCCUCCACGGGGUCCCUCACCACGUCGAUGGAGCGGCGGCCGUCGCGGAGGGUCAGGCACUCCAUGGCCACAUCCAAGGACAAAUUCUUGGCCUGGAGGGCGCGCUCUGCAGCCUCCUUCACCUGCAGGGAGCAGCUGGCUGUGGGGCAGUUCUCCUCGGGGGUGGGAGAAGAGGAGGAAAGGAGGGGAAACCCACCCACGCUCUCAUUAAGGGGACCUUCUGCCACCUGCAGUGCAGCGCUGAAACUCUUAGCAAAUCUGGAAGGAAAUCUGUGGGAGCCAAACACAGCUGUGCUCCACGGGUAGUGGGUCAGGGCUCACACUCACACCCUGCUGGAGGCCCAGGGCUCCAAACAGAGCAGCCCACGGGUUUAGAACUGGGAGAAUCAGAGCUCGACCCCACCGACACCCUCAAUUUCAAAUCAAACGUUUUCAAACGGUGGUUUUAAUGUAUUUCUCAUUACCCUUCAGAGCUUUGGGAGAUAAAAGCAAAGCCAGAACACGAGCAGGCGAUGCACAGCUCAGCUGGGAACAUCCAGGAUGUCAUUUCACCAGGUACCCAUCCCGGAAUACCUGUGACACCGUAUGGGUUUACCCACUGCACGAGGCGAGCCUCAAUUAUUUAACAUCCCACGCUGAAAGCACGGUUUAUUUGCAGCCAUCUGCCUUCCCAACAUACUUUGGCCAAAGCAUCGAUUUCCUCAUCUACGUCUGCGAGGCAUUUGUCCAGGGUCUCCUUCCAUCUGUUCACGCUGCUGAUGCGUUCAGCCAGGCGGGUUUGGUUGUCGUGCUCGUCCCAUUUCGCCUGGAAUUGGGGGGAAAUCGCCACGAGCUGUUUGUUGUUGUCACUUUUUGGGGACUCGGGUUGUGAAACAGCCGCGGUUUUCAGGACGGACGGACCUCUCGCUGUGCCAUAACGCAUCGUUUGCUCUCACAGUGAUCUGGAAGAGCAGAGAGGGCAGAAAGCAACGCAAAGGGCACGAGAGGCACACCCUCAGUAAAGGGAUUUAGGAGGACCUCCGGACAUUCUCAGCAGGCGAAGCCCUCUCCCCUCCCCGUACGCACAGACCCGGCUGCUCUCCCACCCUCUGAGCGCCGUUCGGGCCAACCCGGGGCUCCCACCUGGUUGUUGGUUUCGCUGCGCAGGGCGCGCGCUUCCUGCCGGAGCUGAUGGGACGCGGAGCGUUGGCUCUCAGCGUCGGCGGAGAUGAGGCGGGCGUUGGUGUCCCAGUCGGGCACGGUGAACCUCUGGCCCGGUUUGACGCUCAGCGCUGCCAUCUCGCUGAAGGGGGGGCGGCUGGAAGGGAGAGGAACGCUUUUGCGUCCGUUCGGGAAGGUUUAUCGCGCAAGAAGGGGUUUCUGCGUCCCCGAAAGCUGCUCUGAUGGGGCAGCUCGGCCGACACAGCCGCGUCCAGCCGGGGGGUGCGCGGGGGGCGCUGCCCCGGCCCGGGGAGCGCCGCGCUCUGUACGGAGCCGGGCGGCCGUCGGCACUGCGGCCGAUGGCGCCCGCGGCUCCGCUUCGGUUUCGGGGCUGCGGUCCCAGCGGGGCUGUGCCGUUCUCGGGGGGCACCGAAACCACGGGAGGGGCUCAGAGCAGCCGAGGGGACCGCAGAGCCGGGGGGGGUGGGGGGGGGGACAGGACACCCUGCGUGCCCCCAGCACCGAGGGGCGCCGGGGUUGGAGCUCCCCCAGCACCGCUGGGGACAGACGGGACGGCGUAGCGCCCCGGGCCGGAGCUGAGCGCCGGGGAAGGGACGCGGCCCCGCAGCCCCCGCUCCCCCUCACCGCACUCCGGGCCGCUCCGCUCCGUUACCGCACGCGCUGUCCCGUUGCUAAGCGGCCCCGCAGCCGCUCCUCCCCCCUCCCCCCCCCCCCCGGGACGGGCAUCGCGCCGUGAACAGAGCGAGGGGGGCUGCAGCAAAGCUUUCGUCUUUUUUUAUUGCAGUUCGUAGUGAGAAUUACAGUUCAACCUGAAGCAAAGCGACGUGAAAAAGGAAAACAACACAGGAAAUUUCUCAUCGUUUGUUAAUGCUUACAAGGGGUGAAACCGAAGCGAGAGCAGCAGAGGAAGGUUUGGUGCAGAGCGGUGCACCCGGCGUUGGAGCUCUGCACGGACACUGCAAACCGGAUUGAGGACCUUUACAUGGCGUGAGAGCAAACGGAGGCAGACGGAUGCAGCCCCCACCCCUCCCCUCCUGCAGCCGGGGGGUGACGCAGCUCCAGAGGUAUAAAAAUAAUAAAAGAGCGCAUAUGCGUUUCAAAACAAAUUUAUUCUUUCUUUUCAGAUGAAUACAGCUGGUUUACAAUACAGCCAACUCGAUGGUAUUAAAGCCAGCAGAGAUCCGAGCACUGCUGUGUGCACCGUAUGGGUGCCUACGGGAGGAAGGGGCGGUGAAGGCGGACGUGGGAGUGGGCUGGAAAGAAAGCAACUCCUGCAACAGGUAGAAAAAUUUGGCAAGAACAAUUUGUGUGGGAGGGGAGAAGGGGCAGAAAGCACUGCAUCCACCUCCAGCACUGACCUAUGGUUCCCCCCCCCACCCUGCAUGUACAAAUAGGCACACAUGGUCGAGAUGGGUAAGUAAAAAGAAAGGCUUUUAGCAACCAGCUUGUUUGCCAUCUGCCUACAGCUGUGUAGUGUCUCGAGUCACAGCUCUGCUUUAUUCCUGAAAUAACUCCCUUUUGCUCUGAGAACCCCGGGACCCUCACGGUGGGAACAGCCCAGCUCUGCUCAUGCAGUGGGAGCACUGAAGGCUGCCAGGGCAGGAGAAAGAGUGAGACGUACACAGAGGGAAUCUCAAUGCACUGGAUUCGUUUAUUAGAACUUUAUUUUGAGAAGGAAUCCCAAACAGCACAAUAGUUUUGUUUUUCAUUUGAACAGGUGGUAUUCAAUAUGCAAAGGGUGUAUUUGCACAACGCUGCUCCCAGCAGUCUCCUACACCGACACAGCAAUGCUUAUGGCACACACUGCCACCUGAGCCACCGCCUCCCAGAGAUGUUCCAAUACCCAAACUGCCUCAUCACCAAUUGCCACCAAUUACAAUGAAAGCUUUAAGUGACACCUCUCCAUGACAACACUCUUAUCUAUGAUCAGAUGCCUCGGUGCAUUCUAACAGAUGAGUUCUCCCCCACAAAACAAAUUACAGGGCCAUUUCUCCACCCAUUUCACACACCCGGGGAAGCCAAACUGCUCACAGCAAGGGAGGAAACCAACCAGCACGGACAGGAGAGCUGCAUGGUGAGGCCCCACUGUGCCUCUGCUCACAGCUGUGAGAUCACUGAGCACCCAUUCUGUCAAUGCUAUUGCUGUGCUGAGGCUUUGCAGGAUUGCCCGUGGAACAGACAAGAAAAUGCAGCGUCUAAAAGCAGGUUUACCUACAGGAAAACAACGUGGAGUUUCCUCGAGGUGAGAUUCAACGGAUCGAACACUGACAAGUGCAGAAAAGGCAGCGCUCUGCUGAGGAGCAGAAAGCAAAUCCAAAGGAACCUGAAAGCUACAGCCCCAGGAGGCUGCAAUGAACACAACCAAAGCCCCGAGGAAGGCAGCUGUGUGCAAACUGCCAGCAGCCAAACCUCACCUCAGCCUCACACAGCAGCUCUGCUCAGCACUCCGUUCUCCUCUGCACUGCACAAACACUGCUUUGCUGGCACGCUCCAAACACCAAAGGCUCCUUAGCUGUAGCACUGCUCCAGUGGGUAUUGCUUGGCCAACUGAGCGGAGCAAGCACUGACCUGUGAGAUGUCCAAAUAAACUGUUCUUGAAUGCACUGAAGAGAUUUGCAAGCAUUAGCACUAUGAAAGAUGAUUAGUAACUAUUUUAAUGUCUAACUGUUGCACAGCUGUAUCAAGGCUGGUUGUGGACCCACGAUUCAGGUAAGAUAAUCUCAAGAUAACCCCAUUUCUCUGUGUUGUUGGAGAGCAUCGCGGUAGGUAUUCGUUUUUCAACUGCUAAAUGUGUUUGAAAGACCUCUGAGAUCCUCAGCAACGUAAAGAAAACCUUUUAUUUGAAUCAACUCAUCCUCUAUUUUGCAACAAAAGAUGACAGAAAGCAGCAGUGCACACUGACUGACCCCAAGGAGCUCCUUGGGACGGCUGUGCUGAGACAAAGCAAAGGGCACAGGCUCUGCUGGAUGGACAGACUGCAAAGAGCGCUGUGUUAAGUGAAGGUAACUGGCAAGAAGGCGCACAGGUUUCUAUCAGGAAUGCAGCACUUUGCAGCACGGCUGAUCCUCAGCACACACAGCAGCCGGCUCUCGUAAGGCAAUGCACGUCAUCCUGCAUGCGUUGCAGACAGGGCAGAAAGCUGAGGCAAAAAAUCAAUUCCCUGAAGUCAUGGAGGGAACCCAUCUCAGAGCCGGAGCUGCUGGCUGGAUGACCCUCCGGUACCCCAACACUGCACAAAACAACUUGAAAAGCUCUUCUGUUAUUCUCUGACAACCCACACUCACAGCUUGGAGCCUGAACCAGCACCUAAGGCACCCAGCACUGCAUACCUGGCUGUGAAAGGAGAGGCUCAUUUCUCCCCUUAGCACUUUGCUGAGCCCUCCCAUCGCAGACACCACAGCGCUGUGCACACAUCACCACCCCCAGCUGCUGGCGAGCUGCUCCUUAAAGAGUUACCUUCAGUGAUGUUCAGUGCUCAGUACCACAUUCCCACUUCCCAACCUCCGCCAACAACAUUCCUCACGGCCUUACAGUCAGCAGGGAAGCUGCAGGAGCACAGCAGAGACACCACGGGACAGGCAGCAUUCAAAUAAAGGCAGCAUGAAUGGCUCUCUAUGGAGAAACACAUCAGAGUUAAAUUUCAUUUGAAAAAAAAAAUGCAAGCCUACCAGGAAGUGUUUGGUGACACUGAAGUGUGUUUGUUUGGUGACAUUGCUCUCCAGAAAGCAUUUACUUUAAAGCUUCUCCUCUCUGGGUAGUUACAGCCACCAAUUCAGGGCUCCCUUUAAGUAACUCAACACAAAACCAACUCCAUUCUGACCAAGGACUUCAAGCCUUAAAAGCAGUUCAAGAACACUGAGCCCACUAUCAACCAGUGCAAACUGCCAGCUCCUCCAGCUUCUGUCUCGGAUCAGAGAAAGGCACAUGCUUGCUCUCAACGAGUUCAAGUCUGACCCAAGCAGCCCAGGACACCGAAGCUAACAUGGGAGCUCCCUCAGUGGCUUCUGUACCAACCACCCAAAGACCACAGCCAGAAAUCCAUUGGAGCAUCUGUGUUCUGCAAAGGGGUCACACACUGCUCACAGAACCCCACGGCUCUGUUGUUUGGAGCACCACCGACCCACUGAAUCUGUGUGUUUUGAACCAGGAAGGGAGGCUUUGGGAUUCAGAGAACACAGCUGAUGGGACUGAACGGCUGUCACAGGCACUGCCACUGCUGCCCAGCACGGCCGUGGAGGUGAACAGGCACUCUUGCUUAAAGAAAUACAGGAAAACAGCUUUCCCCUCAUCUCUGAGUUUCUGCAGCAGUUACUUAUGGGGGGGUUGAGUAAACUGCGGGUGCAGAGGGGCAGGUUCAGGUUCAGAUGGCUCCAGCAGCAUUAGGCUUUCAGUACAGUCAGCUCUCCUGGAGGAAGAGGCGGCUCCUCCCUGCCCUCCCAGCUUUCUACUGCUGGUCUGACAGCACAGGCACCAUCUCUCCUCCUCAUAAAACAUACAGCUGAGUCAGUCCAGCUUUGGAUUUACCCCAGCACAGCACGAUUUACUACGAAUAGCAUUGAUGAUAGAAACUUUGCCAGGGAGAAUGAUGGCGUUCUCCUUUUUAAACCAAUUUGCCUCUUCAGUAUCUACACCUUCAGCAACUGGCUUUACUUCAGCUGGAUGCUUCAACACAUCACACACCCUGCAACGAACACAGCAGAGACACGCAGACACUGCUACUGCAGCUAUAACCCCCACGUGCUGCAGCUCAUCUCAGCUGGGAUCCACUCCCAAUAGGAACCACCACCCUCAGACACAGCUCUGUCCAUUGCUUUUGAUCACGUUUGUAAUGUAUAGAAAGAGGAGAUAGGAAUGUACACAUCUCAACAGCUUCAGUACCGGCUAAGCACAGAUAGAAAACAAGCUGGUUCAGAGGCAGGGGAAGAGAUGGAGAGUAUUGCUGCAGACAAGCUGAUGGAAUGAGAUUUUUGGCCCUUUUUAGACUAAAAAGGUAGAAAUGGCUGCUGCAGAAAGCAGCUGACAGAGCCCGGGCUGACAAAAUGCUUUCUAAAUCCCAGCCUAACAGCGGUAAGAAAUUGGGAACAAAUCACUGCAAGCUGAAACACUACGGAAGCAGCACUGAAUGCUGUUCUAAAACAAAGCUGUUAAACAAAGAGGAACAUCACUGCCUUUAACUUCAGCCACGAGAAGUGACGUCCAGGUUGGGCAGUGCACACACAGCAGUUCUGCCACGGAUGUGGAGCGCAGCGGUGUCACAGCCCCAGCACAGCACUGCUGAGCACCGCACGGCUGCUGUUCUGCUCCAUAGAUGUGAAGAAGCUCUGCUCAGUCCUCGGAAACGCCUGGACACGACUGCAUGCCUGCAGCAGUACUGCUCCCAGUGAAAGCAGAAUUUGAUGCUUCAGCUGAUACUGAAAGCCAUCCUGACAUCUGCAACGCCCAACUACUGCAUCAACAGUGACUGAGGUGGACACAAACUCCUUUUAACCUCCAACUCAGAAACCAAAGCACCCAUUACAUCAGCCUGCCUGGUGCGUUGUUCUGUUUGGUCUCUUCUCAAACGUGCCUUAAGAGUUGAGCUGAAUUCAGAGAAGGAAAAAAAACCAUUCAGAAACGUUUCCCACCUAAAAAUAAGAGUCAAAAGCAACACGCAGAUGGGACACAAUAUAAAGACCACCAAUAUAAAGGAACACCCCGAAAAAGGUUGGGGUUCACCAAAGAGCAGCCAGGCAACUGCAAGUGAGACCGUUACAAAAAGGAAAGUGGGUAUUCCUUGCAGGCAGUGCAAGCACACUACAGUGUCACCGAAGCAGAACUUUGCUAUUAUUACCUAAUGCAGCAUUACAAGGUUACUGAGGUGCAGUGGUUAAUAGCUGACAGCUUCUCCCCACGGGAGGAAUGCUCACAUGGACCCACAGCACCACUCUCCCAAGUAGGAAUGACAAGUCCCAGGCACAAACACACAGCACGCCUUGAGGAACGCAGCCCACACGACGCCUGCUUGCAGCACUGACCAUCCCUACGUCUCCAGACAGCGCUCAGCUCGUCUGCUUUGUCCUUGGGGGUUUGUAAUGCCUAUGAGACAACACCUUCCAGCCAUGACCAUCUCAAGCAUCCCACGCUGCUGCCUUCCCCUCGGUGUGAAGGGGCAAACUGCACACAGAAGGAUCCGAGCUGCUCCUCCUCAGCAGCAUUUGGCGAUCGCUCCCCCCAAAGGAAACCACCCUCCCGGUUAUGCUUGGUCCUGACUCAGAGAACUGAUGCCUGAACGUACCUAAAGGUACCAUCAAACACUUGGCAUUUUCAGUUAUGGAUCUUAAAUGUUCAGCCACGUACAACUGGAAAAUAAAAUCUACAGCACCGUCUGCUAAAAAGGCACUUUCUGAGGACUGUCUUGCUUAAAAAUAAAUAUUCACUCCAAAUUUUAAACAGAACCACUUCGUUGUCGAAAGACCCCACGGUAACUACCUGUGUUAGGUGAGGGGGGCCUCAGGCAGAGCUGGGAAAGGCCAGGGCAGGCAGGACACAUUCCUGUAGUACUGAUGCUCCCACGUUGCCCCCUGCAGCCCCUGCCCCUCUGCACACCUCCGCCUACUGAGGGCCAAACCUUCUUGUUUGAGUGCUAUGGACAUGAGGCUUCUCGAGGCUCUGCCCAGGAGGUGAAGCGUAGGACCCCAUACACAUCCAUUUGUAACUCAGCUACUGAGAAAUACAGAACCCUUUGCUAGCAGAAAGCAGCAAUUAGCUCAAGCUCUAACCACUACAGUUCCAGGGUCACAACAAUGAGUCAAUUAGCAAUUUACUUAAACCACGAGCCAAAACAAAAUGAGUGCCCUACCACUCAAUGUCAAUGUAAAGUACCAUCUUUGGGUAGGAAAAGGAGAGACUGGGAUCCUUCCCUUUCACAUCCCUAUGGAUUUUUCCACCAGAUCCAAUCAACCCAUCUGCAGCAGCUGCAGAACUCCACAGCACUGAAGGGACACAGAGGGCCGUUUGGACGGCAGCUCUGAGAAUGGAAUGGAUAACUGCAAGGAACAGCAGCAGAGCUUUGGGUUCCUGGGCUAUAAAAGUGCUCUGAGGAAGGUCCUAAACCCUCAACUCACAAAACUGGGAGAAUGUUAGAAGAGAACGAGAUCUGAAGGGAACACUGAGAAAGAAAAAGGCCUCAAGCUGUUUGAAGGGCAGGCUGAGCUCGGAGUUUUGCCAGAGCAAACUUCCAGACUAGCAGAAAGCUGGUAUUUGUAGCUGGAAGUUGUACAGAAGGGUAUCUGGUGUCUUACACCGAGCACUCCAAAGGACAGAGGUUGGUACACAAAGUGAAACUGGUUUGGGACCGACGGCAUCUAGAAAUAAUUUGACCGACAGCUUUCAGAAACCCAUCUUACUCCAGAAAAACCAUUUCUACAGCCAAACUUCCAGAAGGAUGCCAGAAAGAACCCCUACAGAGAUAACUUCUUUUGGACACGUUCAACCAAAUCACACCUUUAACAGCGACACAGCAAUCCUGAGUCAAACGGCCACAGCUGAAGCGCCCCCCAGGAGAAGCCCCCUGCAUGGGCUCAGUUGCUCUGCCAGCAGGUGCUGCGUGUUAACGCAAUGCUCUGUGCAAUGCUCUGUGCAAUGCUCUGUGCAAUGCUCUGUGCAAUGCUCUGCUCCCUCUCAGCUUCAGAGCGCCCGGUGCUCGGUGCAGGGCUCAGCACAGCCCAGCUUUGGCACAGUACCAGCACUGCAGCUCCCGCCAGGAAGUGGCACUUAAAGUACAAACGAGGUCUUGGUGAACUGGUACAGUGUCUGCAGGGUGGGAGCCACGCACCCAGAUGGGCAGUGCACGAGGCCAGCACGUCUGCAAAGGGAGGAGAAGCACAGCUCCCGGCCACAGACAGCUCCCACAGAGGAGGGGACCUGCAGAGCCACUCGAGAUUUCCCCCACACAGCACAUAAAAUUUGAGAUUAUUAUUAUUAAUUAUUAUUAUUUUUUGUCUUUUUUAAAAGGAGAGCAGGUACAAAAAUAAAAGAAAUCCAUAUACUCUGAAAAUAUACCGGAAACUGCCACCACAGAUGAGGUACCAUUUAUCCCGACCCCCCACCCCCAAACUGCAAACA
Molecule: long non-coding RNA, 11373 nt
Organism: Gallus gallus (chicken)
Lineage: Eukaryota; Metazoa; Chordata; Aves; Galliformes; Phasianidae
Exons: 2
Source: RefSeq, a predicted model, not a curated record